Molecule: ribosomal RNA, 492 nt
Filed under: uncultured bacterium
Lineage: Bacteria
Description: partial 16S ribosomal RNA
Rfam family: Bacterial small subunit ribosomal RNA
Source: RNAcentral
AGUGAACGCUGGCGGUAGGCCUAACACAUGCCAGUCGAACGGCAGCACAGUAAGAGCUUGCUCUUACGGGUGGCGAGUGGCGGACGGGUGAGGAAUACAUCGGAAUCUACUUUUUCGUGGGGGAUAACGUAGGGAAACUUACGCUAAUACCGCAUACGACCUACGGGUGAAAGCAGGGGAUCUUCGGACCUUGCGCGAUUGAAUGAGCCGAUGUCGGAUUAGCUAGUUGGCGGGGUAAAGGCCCACCAAGGCGACGAUCCGUAGCUGGUCUGAGAGGAUGAUCCGCCACACUGGAACUGAGACACGGUCCAGACUCCUACGGGAGGCAGCAGUGGGGAAUAUUGGACAAUGGGCGCAAGCCUGAUCCAGCCAUACCGCGUGGGUGAAGAAGGCCUUCGGGUUGUAAAGCCCUUUUGUUGGGAAAGAAAAGCAGCAGGUUAAUACCCCGCUGUUCUGACGGUACCCAAAGAAUAAGCACCGGCUAACUUCGUG